Molecule: unclassified non-coding RNA, 208 nt
Filed under: Hevea brasiliensis (rubber tree)
Lineage: Eukaryota; Viridiplantae; Streptophyta; Magnoliopsida; Malpighiales; Euphorbiaceae
Source: RNAcentral
GCGGAAUCCAUCGCCCUCAGAGUGCAUCUAUUCAGGUAUCAAUUCUAAUAAUUUUCUGAUAGAAACCUGGUUUAUGGGCAGAAUAGUACAUCAUUGCCCUUUUACCUGAAUGCCGAUUGUACAACUAGUAAAACUGGAAUUUGUGAAUUUCAAGAUCUCACUGGAAAAUACACUAAUGGUAACAUUUCUUGUUCAAACUUUCAGACUG